UACGGGGGGUGCGAGCGUUGUCCGGAAUCACUGGGCGUAAAGGGUGCGUAGGCGGCGCGGUAAGUCGGGUGUGAAAUCUCGGAGCUUAACUCCGAAACUGCAUUCGAUACUGCCGUGCUUGAGGACUGGAGAGGAGACUGAAUUUACGGUGUAGCGGUGAAAUGCGUAGAUAUCGUAAGGAAGACCAGUGGCGAAGGCGGGUCUCUGGACAGUUCCUGACGCUGAGGCACGAAGGUCAGGGGAGCAAACGGG
This 252-nucleotide ribosomal RNA is filed under the name uncultured bacterium. RNAcentral's name for it is "partial 16S ribosomal RNA". It matches the Rfam family "Bacterial small subunit ribosomal RNA", at positions 524 to 776 of the family's 1533-position model. The record is from RNAcentral.